UACAGAGGAUGCAAGCGUUAUCCGGAAUGAUUGGGCGUAAAGCGUCUGUAGGUGGCUUUUUAAGUCCGCCGUCAAAUCCCAGGGCUCAACUCUGGACAGGCGGUGGAAACUACCAAGCUGGAGUACGGUAGGGGCAGAGGGAAUUUCCGGUGGAGCGGUGAAAUGCGUAGAUAUCGGGAGGAAUACCAGUGGCGAAGGCGGCUUCCUGGCCUGUUCUUGACGCUGAGGCGCGAAAGCUAGGGUAGCAAACGGG
This 253-nucleotide ribosomal RNA is filed under the name uncultured bacterium. RNAcentral's name for it is "partial 16S ribosomal RNA". It matches the Rfam family "Bacterial small subunit ribosomal RNA", at positions 524 to 776 of the family's 1533-position model. The record is from RNAcentral.